Long non-coding RNA from Strigops habroptila (Kakapo), 113 nucleotides. RefSeq lists it as uncharacterized. NCBI's taxonomy places the organism in Eukaryota, Metazoa, Chordata, Aves, Psittaciformes, Psittacidae. The record is from RefSeq and is a predicted model, not a curated record. The transcript has 3 exons.
UGUUAUUUCUCUUAUCAUUAUUAUUAUUGGUGGUAGCAGUAGUGGUUUUGUAUUAUACCUUAGUUACUGGACUGUUCUUAUCUCAACCCGUGGGAUUUACAUUCUUUCGUUUC